CCUACGGGAGGCAGCAGUGGGGAAUAUUGGACAAUGGGGGGAACCCUGAUCCAGCCAUGCCGCGUGUGUGAAGAAGGCCCUCGGGUUGUAAAGCACUUUCAGUGAGGAAGAACGCCUGGUGGUUAAUACCCAUCAGGAAAGACAUCACUCACAGAAGAAGCACCGGCUAAACUCCGUGCCAGCAGCCGCGGUAAUACGGAGGGUGCGAGCGUUAAUCGGAAUUACUGGGCGUAAAGCGCGCGUAGGUGGCUUGAUAAGCCGGUUGUGAAAGCCCCGGGCUCAACCUGGGAACGGCAUCCGGAACUGUCAAGCUAGAGUGCAGGAGAGGAAGGUAGAAUUCCCGGUGUAGCGGUGAAAUGCGUAGAGAUCGGGAGGAAUACCAGUGGCGAAGGCGGCCUUCUGGACUGACACUGACACUGGGGUGCGAAAGCGUGGGUAGCAAACAGGAUUAGAUACCCUAGUAGUC
Molecule: ribosomal RNA, 466 nt
Filed under: Vreelandella stevensii
Lineage: Bacteria; Pseudomonadati; Pseudomonadota; Gammaproteobacteria; Oceanospirillales; Halomonadaceae
Description: partial 16S ribosomal RNA
Rfam family: Bacterial small subunit ribosomal RNA
Source: RNAcentral